This 66-nucleotide transfer RNA is filed under the name Linepithema humile (Argentine ant). RNAcentral describes it as "tRNA-Tyr". The record is from RNAcentral. Lineage: Eukaryota; Metazoa; Arthropoda; Insecta; Hymenoptera; Formicidae.
AAUGUUAUGUCUGAUAAAAGUAAUAAAUUGUAAAUUUAUUUAUGAAAUUUUUAAUUUCUAACAUUA